UAACAGGCCUGGUUCUAAUUAUAACAAUUAUACCGUGAAACUGCGAAUGGCUCAUUAAAUCAGUUAUCGUUUAUUUGAUAAUACCUUACUACUUGGAUAACCGUGGUAAUUCUAGAGCUAAUACAUGCUGAAAAUCCCGACUUCGGAAGGGAUGUGUUUAUUAGAUAAAAAACCAAUGCCCUUCGGGGCUUUUUGGUGAUUCAUGAUAACUUUACGGAUCGCAUAGCCUUGCGCUGGCGACGGUUCAUUCAAAUUUCUGCCCUAUCAACUUUCGAUGGUAAGGUAUUGGCUUACCAUGGUUUCAACGGGUAACGGGGAAUUAGGGUUCGAUUCCGGAGAGGGAGCCUGAGAAACGGCUACCACAUCCAAGGAAGGCAGCAGGCGCGCAAAUUACCCAAUCCCGACACGGGGAGGUAGUGACAAUAAAUACUGAUACAGGGCUCUUUUGGGUCUUGUAAUUGGAAUGAGUACAAUUUAAACCUCUUAACGAGGAACAAUUGGAGGGCAAGUCUGGUGCCAGCAGCCGCGGUAAUUCCAGCUCCAAUAGCGUAUAUUAAAGUUGUUGCAGUUAAAAAGCUCGUAGUUGAAACUUGGGCCUGGCUGGCGGGUCCGCCUCACCGCGUGCACUCGUCCGGCCGGGCCUUCCUUCUGAAGAACCUCAUGCCCUUCACUGGGCGUGCUGGGGAAUCAGGACUUUUACUUUGAAAAAAUUAGAGUGUUCAAAGCAGGCCUUUGCUCGAAUACGUUAGCAUGGAAUAAUAAAAUAGGGCGUGCGUUUCUAUUUUGUUGGUUUCUAGAGACGCCGCAAUGAUUAACAGGAACAGUCGGGGGCAUCAGUAUUCAGUUGUCAGAGGUGAAAUUCUUGGAUUUACUGAAGACUAACUACUGCGAAAGCAUUUGCCAAGGAUGUUUUCAUUAAUCAGUGAACGAAAGUUAGGGGAUCGAAGACGAUCAGAUACCGUCGUAGUCUUAACCGUAAACUAUGCCGACUAGGGAUCGGGCGAUGUUCUUUUUCUGACUCGCUCGGCACCUUACGAGAAAUCAAAGUUUUUGGGUCUGGGGGGAUAAGGUCGAAAGC
Molecule: ribosomal RNA, 1078 nt
Filed under: Alternaria sp. zzz407
Lineage: Eukaryota; Fungi; Ascomycota; Dothideomycetes; Pleosporales; Pleosporaceae
Description: SSU rRNA
Rfam family: Eukaryotic small subunit ribosomal RNA
Source: RNAcentral